CCCCCCUCAAGAUGAGAUUUCCCAACUUCGGUUAUAAGAUCCCUCAAAGAUGAUGAGGUUAAUAGGUUCGAGGUGGAAGCAUGGUGACAUAUGGAGCUGACGAAUACUAAUCGAUCGAAGACUUAAUCAAAUU
RNAcentral lists this ribosomal RNA (133 nucleotides) under Staphylococcus aureus. RNAcentral describes it as "partial 23S ribosomal RNA". It matches the Rfam family "Bacterial large subunit ribosomal RNA", at positions 2793 to 2925 of the family's 2925-position model. The record is from RNAcentral. Lineage: Bacteria; Bacillati; Bacillota; Bacilli; Caryophanales; Staphylococcaceae.